This 785-nucleotide ribosomal RNA is filed under the name uncultured Glomus. Its description in RNAcentral is "SSU rRNA". It matches the Rfam family "Eukaryotic small subunit ribosomal RNA", at positions 325 to 1111 of the family's 1831-position model. The record is from RNAcentral. Lineage: Eukaryota; Fungi; Glomeromycota; Glomeromycetes; Glomerales; Glomeraceae.
AUGGUAGGAUAGAGGCCUACCAUGGUGGUAACGGGUAACGGGGUGUUAGGGCACGACACCGGAGAGGGAGCCUGAGAAACGGCUACCACAUCCAAGGAAGGCAGCAGGCGCGCAAAUUACCCAAUCCCGACACGGGGAGGUAGUGACAAUAAAUAACAAUACAGGGUUCUUUGAAUCUUGUAAUUGGAAUGAGUACAAUUUAAAUCUCUUAACGAGGAACAAUUGGAGGGCAAGUCUGGUGCCAGCAGCCGCGGUAAUUCCAGCUCCAAUAGCGUAUAUUAAAGUUGUUGCAGUUAAAAAGCUCGUAGUUGAAUUUCGGGAUCAAUACGUCGGUCGUGCUUUCGGGUACGUACUGGCGUCAUUGGUUUCUCCUUUCUGACGAACCAUGAUGUCAUUAAUUUGGUGAUAUGGGGAGUUAGGACUGUUACUUUGAAAAAAUUAGAGUGUUUAAAGCAGGCAUUAGCUUGAAUACAUUAGCAUGGAAUAAUGAAAUAGGACGUUCGAUCCUAUUUUGUUGGUUUCUAGGAUCAACGUAAUGAUUAAUAGGGAUAGUUGGGGGCAUUAGUAUUCAAUUGUCAGAGGUGAAAUUCUUGGAUUUAUUGAAGACUAACUACUGCGAAAGCAUUUGCCAAGGAUGUUUUCAUUAAUCAAGAACGAAAGUUAGGGGAUCGAAGACGAUCAGAUACCGUCGUAGUCUUAACCAUAAACUAUGCCGACUAGGGAUCGGAUGAUGUUAAUUUUUUAAUGACUCAUUCGGCGCCUUACGGGAAACCAAAGUGUUUGGG